Long non-coding RNA from Symphalangus syndactylus (siamang), 3385 nucleotides. RefSeq lists it as uncharacterized. NCBI's taxonomy places the organism in Eukaryota, Metazoa, Chordata, Mammalia, Primates, Hylobatidae. The record is from RefSeq and is a predicted model, not a curated record.
GCGCUAGUCCGUACGGGGUGCCAGAGACUGUAAGUGGGGCUUGAACUCGGCUGCGCGCCUGUGGAAGUUCUUUCUUUACUCGAAAGAGGGAAAGCAUUUCCUUGAGUUUGCAUUUUAGGGGAAGCUUACAGCAUUGACACUUUGUUUAAAAUAUUCACUACUGCUGUAGAAAAAAAAAAAAAAACGAAAAACAGUGGGGUUGUUUCUAAGACGCUGGGAAUCAGUAAAGAAGAAUAGUGAUCCGGGACAUACUGGAAGCAAAUGAUCUGAGCUCAAAAAACGAGCUGCUUUCAGAGAUAUUAGUAUUUUAGAGAUGCGAUACAGGAGAGUGAACUCAAGCAGAGCCCAGCGGAUUGCCUGCGUUGGCAAAAUAGAACAGAUAUUCUGGGGAGACCAAGAAAUGGUUCCUCUCUGUUGCUGAGGCUGGAGUGCAGUGGCACUAUCUCGACUCACUGCAGACUCUGCCUCCUGGGCUCAAGAAAUCCUUCUACCUCAGCCUCCAGAGUAGCUGGGACUACAGGGUAAAAGCUAGAAACUUUCAUGAUUAUGAAGAAUCUGGGAAGCAGAGAAAAAGAACACUGAACAAGGCAGAAGCUACCUGGGUCUGCAUAAUAAAGAGCUAAGCCAGAGAGAAACGAGGUUUUCACUUCAUCACCCAGGCUGGAGUGCAGUGCCUUGAUCAUAUCUCACUGCAGCCUCAACCUCCUAAGCUUAAAGGAUCCUCCCAUCUCAGCCUCCUCAAUAGGUGGGACUAUGGGUGCAUGCCACCACACCUGGCUAAAUUUUUUUUUUUUUUGCAGAGGCAAGGUCUUGCUUUGUUGCCCAGGCUGCUGGUCUUGAACUCCAGGCUUCAAGCAAUCAUCCCAUCUUGGCCUUCCAAAAUGCGGGGAUUACAGGCAGCAUUUUGGAAGGUGACCUGGCCUGGCCUAGAUCUUAUUGUUUAGUAUACAGAAAUAAUCACUUUUUAAAUCAUGCGACCUGUAAAUUAUGUAAAUCUCUAUUAAAUGAUAUCAUAUGUCAUUAUCAAAUGCAUUAGAUCUCUCUUCCUCUAACUAAUGAAACUUUCUUCUCUCUCUGAUAGUGAAGUGGAUAGUGCUGAUCUGAUAUCAUCACUAUUAUUGGUCAAAAUUAGCAAAAGUUGUAAGAACAUGUCAAUGUUCUAAAUUUUUCUUAUUCUUUCAACACUUGGUCAGCAUGUAGUUUGUCAUGAGAAACCAAGUAUGAAAUUUUGCCUCAAUUUUUUUCUAGUAUAUAACAAGGACCAUCGGCAUUCUAGAUGACAAUAUGUAUGAUGACAUCUAUAAGAUGACAAUAUAUAUGUCUUUGCCGCCCAUCCCCAUCAACUAUAGCAAUUCUACAUUUUAAAUUAUGUUACUUGUAGUAUUCUACUUACAAGUGCUAAUUCUGCAUCAGCCAAAACAUGUUAAGCUAUGAGCAACAAAUAUUCACUAAACAAUAACUGAAAAAAGUAAGAAGUUUAUUGAUUUUACUUAAGAUAUAGAGAAAUAUGGCAGGUGCUAUUGCCUAAAUAUUGGCAGUUCCCCAAAAUUCAUAUGUUAAAACCUAGUCCUAAGUCUGGUGGUGUUAAGAGGUAGGACUUUGGGGAGGUAAUUUGGUCAUGAGGUCUUCAACUUUAUAAUUGGGAUUGGCACCAUUAUAAAAGAGGCCCAAAGGAGCUUAUUUCCCUCUUCUGCCACAUGAGGAUGCAGCUGGAGAGUACCAUCUAUCAAGCAGAGAGCAUGACCUCACCAGACGUUGAAUCUAGUGCCCUGAUCUUGGACUUCCCAGCCUCCAGAACUCUAAGAAGUUUAUAAAUUAUGCAGUCUAAAGUGUUUUGUUAAACUAGCCCAAAUGGACUAAAAUAGCAGGUAUGGUGAUUCUAUGAUAAAAUUAUAAACCAAUGAUUUUUUCUUUUUUUUUUUUGUCUGAUUGUUAUUGGCACUUGGCUUUUCUACAUCACAUUUAUCAUUAUAUACCUGCAACAUUUCUAGAAAUCAUAUUUCAGUUGAUGCUAUAUAUGUAGGCUCACACUAUAUCUAUAUAUAUAUAUAAAGCUAUAUAUAUGCUGUAUAUAAUAGGCUUUAUAUAUAUAUAGCAUCAGCCUAUUAAUUAAGAAAAAUUGUGUCAUGAAUAGACCGUGUGUUUUCCUUAAGUAGAAAAGCCAAUACAAAUGAACAAUAUUCAGUUUUACCUAAAAUGUCACACUGCAGAAAAACAAAUUACUAUACAACAUUCAAUAGAUGUAACAAGAGAGGAUGAAGGAUCUUAGUGCACAGACAGAUGGGUUUUGAAAUCACGGAAUUAAACAGUUAAAUGUAUUUGAGCCUAUCGUUUUAUCACAGGAUUUCAGAUAGUUUUACUUGGUAAAUUGCAUUGUGCACUCCAAAAGAGUGAAUGUGAAAAGCAUAUUUUCCAUCUUUUAAACUAAAGAACAAGUAUGUACUUUGUUUAUUGUGUUAGCCAGCUUAGGCUGUCAUCACAACUUACCACGGAGUAGAGAGCUUAAACAGAAAUUUAUUUUGGCCUUACCUCUGUGUGAGCCUAGAAGGAGAGAGCUCUAUGCUGUCUCUUCCUCUCCUUAUAAGGACACCAGCCCUAUGGGUGUGGAGCCCCACCCUUAUGACUUUAUUUAACCUUAAUCACAUCUUUGAAGGCCCUGUCUCCAAACACAGUUACAUCUGAAGUUAGAGCUUCAGCAUCUGAAUUAUAGGAAGACACAAUUUAGUCCAUAACACUUUGUAAUUUUAUAACAGCUUAAAUUUUAAUUUUAAUUAAUAUAAUGGGAGAACCUUGGUAUAGCUAUUAAAUAGUGUGUAGUUUUAAGAGCAUAUUAAAUAAAACUAUUCCUACAUUUUAGCUAAAGGCCUUUGGCGGAAGGAAUUUUCCAAAGAUGGCUUCUUUUAAAAUAUAUUCCAUUCUGUAUAUUCUUAUAAUGAGACUUUUGUAUUUGUUCCAGUGAGUAUUGACUUUAUAUCUCAUAACGCCAGAGUCAGGUGGAUUUUGUGACUGCCUCAACCAAUAAAGUAUGAAAUAAGUGGCACUAUUUGACUUCUGUAGCUGGUAUGCAGCUACACAGCCUGCUUCUCUCUGAACAUUGGCCCUGAGAGAAACCAGCUAUCAUGUGAUCUGUACAACUUCUCAGAGGCUUCCAUGCCGUGAAGAAACCCAAACUAGUGCAUGUGGAGAGAACAUCUGGAAAGGACUCGAGUCUACAUGAAAAGAGAUUUCUGACCAAUACCCAGCUACUCUAGUUCCCUGCUGUUUCAUAUCCAGCCAUUAUCUGACUGUAACCGCCUGAGAGACCUUAAAUCAGAUCGGCUCAUCUGAACCCCUUCCUGAUCUGGAAAAGUCAUGGAUAAAAAUAAAAUAAUUAUUUUUAUUUCAA